AUAAAGUGUUAUCUUUUCCACCAGGUGGCAUAAAGUGUUAUCUUUUCCACCAGGUGGCAUAAAGUGUUAUCUUUUCCACCAGGUGGCAUAAAGUGUUAUCUUUUCCACCAGGUGGCAUAAAGUGUUAUCUUUUCCACCAGGGGGCAUAAAGUGUUAUCUUUUCCACCAGGUGGCAUAAAGUGUUAUCUUUUCCACCAGGGGGCAUAAAGUGUUAUCUUUUCCACCAGGUGGCAUAAAGUGUUAUCUUUUCCACCAGGUGGCAUAAAGUGUUAUCUUUUCCACCAGGGGGCAUAAAGUGUUAUCUUUUCCACCAGGUGGCAUAAAGUGUUAUCUUUUCCACCAGGUGGCAUAAAGUGUUAUCUUUUCCACCAGGUGGCAUAAAGUGUUAUCUUUUCCACCAGGUGGCAUAAAGUGUUAUCUUUUCCACCAGGGGGCAUAAAGUGUUAUAUUUUCCACCAGGUGGCAUAAAGUGUUAUCUUUUCCACCAGGGGGCAUAAAGUGUUAUCUUUUCCACCAGGUGGCAUAAAGUGUUAUCUUUUCCACCAGGGGGCAUAAAGUGUUAUCUUUUCCACCAGGGGGCAUAAAGUGUUAUCUUUUCCACCAGGUGGCAUAAAGUGUUAUCUUUUCCACCAGGUGGCAUAAAGUGUUAUCUUUUCCACCAGGGGGCAUAAAGUGUUAUCUUUUCCACCAGGUGGCAUAAAGUGUUAUCUUUUCCACCAGGUGGCAUAAAGUGUUAUCUUUUCCACCAGGGGGCAUAAAGUGUUAUCUUUUCCACCAGGUGGCAUAAAGUGUUAUCUUUUCCACCAGGUGGCAUAAAGUGUUAUCUUUUCCACCAGGGGGCAUAAAGUGUUAUCUUUUCCACCAGGUGGCAUAAAGUGUUAUCUUUUCCACCAGGGGGCAUAAAGUGUUAUCUUUUCCACCAGGUGGCAUAAAGUGUUAUCUUUUCCACCAGGUGGCAUAAAGUGUUAUCUUUUCCACCAGGGGGCAUAAAGUGUUAUCUUUUCCACCAGGUGGCAUAAAGUGUUAUCUUUUCCACCAGGUGGCAUAAAGUGUUAUCUUUUCCACCAGGUGGCAUAAAGUGUUAUCUUUUCCACCAGGUGGCAUAAAGUGUUAUCUUUUCCACCAGGUGGCAUAAAGUGUUAUCUUUUCCACCAGGUGGCAUAAAGUGUUAUCUUUUCCACCAGGUGGCAUAAAGUGUUGUCUUUUCCACCAGGUGGCAUAAAGUGUUAUCUUUUCCACCAGGUGGCAUAAAGUGUUAUCUUUUCCACCAGGUGGCAUAAAGUGUUGUCUUUUCCACCAGGUGGCAUAAAGUGUUAUCUUUUCCACCAGGUGGCAUAAAGUGUUAUCUUUUCCACCAGGUGGCAUAAAGUGUUGUCUUUUCCACCAGGUGGCAUAAAGUGUUAUCUUU
Molecule: long non-coding RNA, 1408 nt
Organism: Oncorhynchus keta (chum salmon)
Lineage: Eukaryota; Metazoa; Chordata; Actinopteri; Salmoniformes; Salmonidae
Exons: 5
Source: RefSeq, a predicted model, not a curated record